AUGAAAUGUGCUUUGAUCUAAAAAAUAUUUCUUCUAACAUCAUAGCUUACAGUUUUAUAUUAACCAUCUCCCAAUAUUUUAAAUAACAAUUUAAUAAAUUCUUCUAUCUUUAAUUUUGUUAAUAAGUGUUGGAUUUGUCAUGGAUCGAAUAGAAAAGAAUUAUGUGUACAAGAAAAAGUAAGAUGGUUUAUUACGACUAAAGUAAUGCUUUACAUAAGUAUAGAAAGAAAAAAAACGUGAUAACUCGUUAGACGCACAAAAAUCAGAAUCACGCAGCGGAAAUCCGUAAAACAAAAGCAUAAUACAAUAGUAUUAUUGUAUUAUGGGACAAAUUGUAUUGGAACAAAUUCAAAAGCUAAUUAACACGAAUAAUGAAACGUGGAAGAUACAAAUAAAAAGUGUAUUAAGGUUUAACGACUUAUGGAAAUACGUUAGCGGACAGUUAGUGAAGCCCGAAAAUGACGAGGGCGAAUGGCAAAAUAAAGAUGAAAAAUCCAUUGAUUUAAUAACACUAAGCAUAAGCCGAAUCAGUUUGAUUACAUCAUAAACGUCACUAUCUCGAUCGAAGUAUAGAACUCAUUGAAAGAACUAUUUAGAAAGUCACAGAACGAAACUAUGUCGGAAUUCCUAAACGAAUUUGUAAAAAUUGGACUACAAUUGGAAGAGUGUGACCUGAAGUUACCGGAAAAUCUACUAACGAUUUGGUUGCUGAAUGCGCUACUCGGUGAGUACAAAAAUUUCUGCGUAGCUAUUAAAUCCAGGGAAAAAAUGCCAAGCCUGGAAGAAUUAAAAACGAAGCUUCUUGAGGAAGAAGCUAGAAGAUGUCCGUAUGACAGAGAGGAAGGACCAAGCAAAACGGAAGGCGCUUCUCUCAAAGAAAAAUGAUGCGCUGAAGUUAGAAAAACCAGAACAGAAAAAUACACAUACAGAGCAAGGUAAGAGCUAUAAAUGUUAUAUAUGUAAUAAAAUUGGUCAUAUAUCAAAAUACUGUAAAUCAAAGCGUAAUCAAUAUAAUGAUCCUCAAAAUUAAGACAAUAAAACUAUAUAAUAAAGA
Molecule: long non-coding RNA, 1054 nt
Organism: Polistes dominula (European paper wasp)
Lineage: Eukaryota; Metazoa; Arthropoda; Insecta; Hymenoptera; Vespidae
Source: RefSeq, a predicted model, not a curated record